RNAcentral lists this ribosomal RNA (255 nucleotides) under uncultured bacterium. RNAcentral's name for it is "partial 16S ribosomal RNA". It matches the Rfam family "Bacterial small subunit ribosomal RNA", at positions 524 to 776 of the family's 1533-position model. The record is from RNAcentral.
UACGGGGGAUGCAAGCGUUAUCCGGAUUUAUUGGGUUUAAAGGGUGCGUAGGCUGUGAGGUAAGUCAGCGGUGAAAUGCCCCCCGCUCAACGGGGUGAAGUGCCAUUGAUACUGCCUUGCUGGAAUGCGGAUGCCGUGGGAGGAAUGUGUGGUGUAGCGGUGAAAUGCAUAGAUAUCACACAGAACACCGAUUGCGAAGGCAUCUCACGAAUCCGCGAUUGACGCUGUUGCACGAAAGCGUGGGUAUCAAACAGG